Long non-coding RNA from Oreochromis aureus, 2647 nucleotides. NCBI's taxonomy places the organism in Eukaryota, Metazoa, Chordata, Actinopteri, Cichliformes, Cichlidae. The record is from Ensembl.
UCCUGAGCCUGCUUGUUAAAGAUGAUUGCCAAAGAGCUGCUGCUGACUGAACUCCUGUGAUAUGCACACUACUCCUUUAAGUAUUUGAUCUCUCUGAUAAGUGCCGUGCAGUUUCAGUUUUGCUUCUAUUCGACUUUAACCUUUAGUUUCCGCGUGCCUUCUCACGCAUUCUUUUCUCAUCUGUAGUUCAUCAUUAGCCGUCCUCCCAACCGGACGCUGUUGAAAGCUCCAACCUGCCGCGGCCUCUUCUCUGAGUGACACAAGCAGAUCCUCUACGUCCAAGAAAUUAGAGCUCUUGUUCCUGGCUGUUCCACAGCACAUUAUCAGGGUUUAGAUGAAGAAACACUGCACUCAAGAUCGCUGGGAGCAAAAGAAACAGCUGGAGAAAAGAGGUGGGAACUUGAAAGUAAAAUGCAAAUAAUCCAGAGGAGGAGGAAGAAUGGGAGGAGUGAGAAAGUGAAAACUGGAGGGUGAAGCAGGAUAAAGUGAUAGAAGAGAGGGAGUCCAUCCUUUCGCUCCGAUCUCUCCAGCCACGUGUAGACCAGCAGCUCCGGGUGACGCACCUUUUUCCCCUGAAGUGAACCAUCACCUGCCAAAACUCCAAACUCGUCCUUCUGGUUGUUCAUUCCUCUUUUCCUUGGAUAGCCAGGAGCCUUCCCCAGCAGCGAGGUUGGAAGUUUGACAAAACUUUCCUGAAAACUGGCCAAAGAAAGGAUUUUCUUCAUUCUACAACUGCUGUUGAGCUUUCAGCUGGAGUCCAGCAGAGGACAGACGCUGAAGACACUUUAAGCCAUCAGCGUCGUGUCGGAGGGUCGGGGAGUUGAAGCCUCCGGAGGGGUCUGCUUUCUCACAGCUGUGAUCGAUUUGUUGAAGAUGUUGUAGUGAGUUGUGGGGCAGCAGACAGCAGAGGAUAAUGUGACACAGAUGAUGGUUUUGCCGCCUGUGCCAUGCAGAGGGAGAGGCCAGCUCUCGUGAGUGUGUUUGUGUUUCUGUGUUCUGUCAACAUCAUGGCCAUCACCCAAAAACCAUGCAGCAGGGACCUUAUUAACAACGUCCUGACCCUGAAGGAGAAAGUCUCCAUCAUCUCCAACAAGUUGUCGCUGAACUGCAGCCUGUACACACCCACCAUUGAAGACUACGAGAUUUGUCCCAAGACCACGAUGCAAUGUUUUGCUUCUGAAAUUAUCGUCCUCACGCAUGAGUGCGAGCUCCCGUCAAUGGGGAAAAAAUUGAAUAAAAUGCUGAGUAAACUGGCGUUCAGGAUAAACCAGCAGACAGCGUCAAAGUGUCGUCGGUGUGAGGUCAUGAAGGAGAAAAAUGCAACCACCUUUCUUGAAAAUCUGCUAUGGACUGUUGAGAAAUCUAACAGUGACUACUGUUAGGACUUUCAGAAGAGACUGCAUGGCCUGACUUUCUUUUCAUUAACUUUCUAUUAAACCACCUGCACACAAAUAAAGUGCAGAAUGUAUGAUGUCGGAGCAGCUCAGUGGCAUUUGAGUUACAGUUAGAGGCUAACGCGGGGUUCUGGGUGGAAAAAGCUUGCUUGUAGUUUCAUAUCAACUCAUCAGCUAACAUAAAUGUCUCACUGAUGAAGUCAUAAAGAAGACACAGUCAGAUCCCAGCUAAGCUGCAGUCAGAUGCUGAGAGCACGUUGGUCACUUUAAUGUGUUUUAAGGAAAUAUGUGUGUAUUUUCGUCUGCUAUUAAUGAGUAUUAUUAUAUUAAUAAGGUUGCUAUCAAGCAGUUGGACAGUGGGUGAAAAGGGGGCAUUGGGUCAGUGUGUUUAUUGGCCUUGGUAAACUGAUGGAAGUACACCGAGGAUGGCAGGAGGAAAACAGACCUGUCUACGCAUUUCACAACCACAGACACCAUCACAGAAAUGUGCGACAGUUUCUGAGCACGUGGGACUUCCUGAGGAUCGCACAACUGGCUUAGUCGAAAGCCACUGCCAGAUUAUUCAUGCAUCAGACAUUACAAUGCAAUGGACAUCUGCAAGGACAUCACUGCUUACCGCCUACUGUGGCCAAAAUAUGCUCCUACACAGCUCUGAUGUAAACCUCAGAAACAUAUAAAGUUAUUUCUACUCUUCUAAUAAGCUCAUUCUCUCCCUACUUUGAUCUGAUGCUCCUGUAUUUAGUUCAGUACAAUAAACUUCAUUUUAAAGUAAGCUGAUGCACGCGUUUCACUCUUAUUUCUUGCACCUUCAGAAUAAAAUUAUCCCGUUCUGUCUUUUUGUACAGCUUGGCUAGAUUAAGGAUCAUGUAAAGUUAGAUGAUAAAAAUUAAUUAUUUCAAGGUAAGUGAGCUUUAAAUGACAACAGCUUCAUAUUUUUAGACCUUGGAGUGUACUAGUGUAGCUUUAAUAAUCCAUAUCUACCCUCAUAAAGCCCUUCAGUUCAUCCUCAUUCAACAUUGAGUCUAACAGCCCACUUUCUCCUAAUCUGAGAACUUUUGGGAGCCUGCUGUGAGCUAGUCUCUCAUUGUACAUGAGUUUAGCCGCUUUAGUAUGAACAGCUGGAAACCAUCUACCCCCUGAGACGGACAGACCGUCGGGUUCUCUCCUUCAGAGUCUUGGCAAGACCAGAUCUUAACAAACUAAACAGACACACAGACUGUGCAGAUCACAUGAUGGGCAAAUACACUGUUUAG